RNAcentral lists this long non-coding RNA (4192 nucleotides) under Panax ginseng (ginseng). RNAcentral describes it as "long non-coding RNA (PGIN_LNC014312)". The record is from RNAcentral. Lineage: Eukaryota; Viridiplantae; Streptophyta; Magnoliopsida; Apiales; Araliaceae.
UGUUUUGUUUCUUGUUCAGAGUAUCAACCUAUCUUAGCCCCCAACCCAUUUCUUACAUAACCGAUUCUUUCCCUGAAUAGGUUGCUAGUGUUCGGUCCUGAUCCAAGAUGAGGAACCAAACCAAGUCUUGAAAGUCUUCCUCAAGUGAGUACUGGUCCACCUAUCCAGUAUGUGAGGAAGUUUCUCCCAUGGAGCUAGCUUUUGUAUGUUACUAAGCCGGAUCGCCCAUACUAGGUUCUUUUUCCACGCUAUGUGACUAGCCGACGAUGAUGGGACUAGUAGACGCAGCAGACUGAACUUGUCUCAUGAAAUGGUUCUUCUCGACAAUCCAUUUAUUGUAGGUUAGAUUCAGCCCUAUUAAGUAAAGGCAGACUGACGCUCUUGCGUCUGCAUGAUCUGAUUUCUAGAAUUGGUGGGCCCCACUUGUGGUUGGUGAAGAAAUGUGCUGAAUUUUACUUCUAUCGUGCCUAUCUAUGCGGCUCCCGAUAGAAGCAAUAUUUGAUUACAGGAAAGCCAACUAGUAGACGUUACGCUCCUCAACCUAUCGGUUGAGUCACUUCGAUGCACUCUCCUUCAGGUAGGAUUCUUUUAUAAACAUUGAGGAGGUAAGAGCCCUAUCAACCAUACAUUUCGUAUACUACUGAAAACUAUAAGCUUAAAGUCCUUACUCAACUACAAGUACAGUAAGGAAGGAAAGGGCUACAUCCUCUUUCUUAUAAUGCAUUCCUUAUUUAUUGCUCUAUCCAUAGAGAGAAGACAAAGAUGCAAUUCAAGGUCUUAUGCUUAGAGUGAUUCAAGAAGAUAACUAGAGGAACCUCAAAGGCCUAUCCGAGAGGCAAGGAAUGUAGCUACUUACUAUAAAGGCAGGGUCCGAAGGACUUUUUCCUUCUUUCAAUUCUAUAUCUCUAGAUGGAAGUCCUGAGUGAGUCCAGUCCGGAUAGUAGGCAGCCUUUUGGAUUCCCUCCCUCAUCUAGUGAUGAUUGUCAUAGAUAGGUCUCAUCCCUCUGACAGUCCUGGUCCUGCCUUCAAUUCUUUCUUCUAUUGAUUGAUAGCGAAGAAUGAAAGAAAUGGAUAUGGAGAUCGUUCCUCUGUGCUCUUUCUUGCUACUUGCUUGUAGGGUUAGCACAAGCUAGGUUUUCCAUCCGAACCCUUAACUUACUGUGAGUGGAAUAAGGCCAGUGAAAGCGGAAGGUUAGUUCCUCUCUGCUCUUAGCCCGGCAGGUCCCCCUGGACGUUCCCACUUAGCUAAUUGAAUGUAUUUCCCCUUCCUUGCCUAAGCCUAACUGGAAGUGUAAGAAGGUAGCUCUAAGGUUCAUAUUCUCUAGUAGUCCUCCUGAAAGCUCAUAAGGCAGGCUGCUCCUUUCCUAUUGCUGUUCCUCUUGAGUAGUAGGACUAACAUUCAUUGCCUUCCUUCUCUAACUCUGACUUUAAUAAGGCAUUCUGCUUCCCCUGCCCUCGAUUCCAAAGGAAUGGUCUAAGGGCUUCCCUCUUCCAAGUCCCCCUCGGGGGGUUUCGAAUAUGAGCUCGCUCUUUAUAUGCAUUCUAAAGGCAGGAAGAGAGGUUGCCACGAGAAGCUCCGAUUGAACGAGAGAUUGAGGAAGGGGAUCGAAAGGCUUUAUCUCCAAAGUGCCGUCUCCGAUUGGCUCAAUUACUUUGAUUCGAUUGGUAAGACUUAUAUGACUCACUCGCUUAGACUGGAUUGCUGGCUUAGAAUAAAUCUCCAUAUUGACCAAUAGCUGGCUUGGUUCCGCUUUCUUAAGCAUCCAUUAGUGUUGGGGGUUUAAUAGAUGGAUUCACUUACUGCUGCUGGGAUUGCCUUCCGAAGGAGAGAGUUAGGUGCUUGUUGAGUAAGGCCGGCUUUAUUCGAUUGCUUGAUUGUUGGGAUUGACAGCUUGAAUUGAGGGGCUGGUUACGGUUAAAGACUUCCAGCUGAGAAAGAUACAGAUAACAUAUAUAGAUUUAUAGGUCGAAGGGGCGGCAGAGAUCCAUUGAGAGGAAGACAGAUUGGGAUAGAGGGAGAAGGAGACAGCUACCAGUUUUAGGGAUCGAGCCCAGGGAAAAAGACAGGGACUUAGAUGGGAAGUUCAAUGUCUGGAGCAAUACACUAUCAUUUGUUUUCACUUACAAUGUUGCCGAUAUAACCGGACAGCAGACAGGUGAUAGAAGCCAGUAACAGAUUCCCAGUGAAGGAUACAAGGACGUAAUACCUAUAUAAGAGAGCCUGGUUGGGAGAUAAAGCUCGAAAGCUCAGGAGACAGAAUUGAAUGGAAGAUAUAGGGAUGGCAGUUGCCAGCUCUUCUUUCCGAUCUUGAUUGCUUUCCGGUCCAUUGUUCGAUUCUAUAGCUAAUAUAGCUUAACUCCAUCUCUCGUAUCGGCUAAUCAAUGAGUGGGGACAUGAGAAGUAGGAUUAGCUGCCCUCAGAACACUUUCUAGCCUCCUAAAGGAAGUAUUAAAAGAUAAGAUAACGCUAUGCGCACACAAGCUAACUUCAGGUAUGCAGUUAGUUCUCAAGCGAUUCCCUUGUUGACUUCGGAUCUUACUUCUUCCUGCCUUCAAACCAAGCAUGAGAAUCGACUAGUCGCCUAGCCUGGUUCUUCUUUGUUUUCCUGAGCAGUAUGGUACGGCACGUGGGAAAUCACGAUCAGAGAGAAGUAACGAGACGAGAAAUCCACAGGAAAUAACGAAGUACAAGCGUGAAUUAUCUAUCUAUCUCUUUCCUUGUUGCGGCCGCUCGCCCUACAUCAGUGCCAAAGGCUUGCGACUUGUCUGGAUCCAGAGGUGGAAGAAGGACCUCCAUCAUCUUUGUACCCGGAUCCUAUUCCUAUCCACAGCUAGUAACUGAGGGUUGCCUGGUUGCCCUCACCUGCCAAAUACCUGCUUCGGGGGAUACCAACUAAUAACUAAUAGCGGGAUUUCCACAAAUGGUAAGAGUAAACACCUCUAGAAUCUACGGAUCUGAGGACCUAGCCCUUAAAAAGGGAGUGAAACGUUGCGCUCACUAACGCUUAUUAAGAGGGCUACGCUCGCUACAAUCCUCUUAUCUUAACAGGGGCUGAAAGAAUGCAAAAAGAACUGGGCAGUAGCGCCUUUCCCUCGCUCUGAUCAGGAAGCCAUGUUAGAAAACACAUGUAUCCAACGGUGGCAGAAGAGAUUUGUGCAGGAGCUGGCGGAUGCUGGAGAUCCAUCAGAGUUGACAACAUUGGGAGUUUUUCCACAUUUGGCAGCGUAGGCACGCCGAAACGAGUUAAGAAGCGAGCUACAUACCUGGGGUUCAAAACCAUUAAACCCCGCCUGCUGUUGUUGGUAGUCUCCUCAGAUGGUAUUUCAACGGAGAAUCGGAUAGAGUGGAUGGACACCUAUGCUACCUUACCUGCCUUUACGGAAAUCGUUUCAAGACAGGAAAGCCUUUCAAUCCGUUCUGUUGUUCGAAAAAAGCCUCGCAAUCAGCUAUUGAGUAUAUCUAAUAAUCUAUGGUACUAGCUUAGCCCUAGUAAGGCUCACUUUUUGUCUCGAAUAGUCUUUCCUUUCUUUUUCUUUCGAAAGGGAAGUAAGUAAGGUCUUUUUGCUAUUGGUUCCCGCCAAGCAUUGGCGCAACUGCAGUCCCAUAGUGUGUUUCCUUCUCCAUAGUCAGAAGGCAUGUAUUCUCCAUAGCCAGAAAGAAGGCAUGUCUUCGUUAGCUUCGAUUGCAGCACCAGAAGCAGUCUCACAAAAUCGUACCAAAUGACCCAACAGUUAUUCUUUAUGGCAUCGUUGUCGGCUCUGAAACAGCAGUUCAAACUAUCCCUUUUAAGGCCUUCUAAGCCUUCCUAUUCGCUCUGGAACAACCCGCUUUUGGAUAGGCAUCGAUAGAUCAAAAUGGAACGACAGGAAUGGAUAUAGGUGAGAUGGCCGGCCCAAAGGUAGAUAGCGGCAGUUUGGCCCUGGGUUGGUCUGUUGGUUGCUAAGUAGCUUAUGGCUCUCCUCUUUUUCUUUAGAUUUAGAGGAGGAAGCCUCUGUUUGGAUCUCUUUUCCUGAUAUCCCCGUUAAUUCUUUUUCUGGGAAUGAGUUCGGGUUCUCAAUCUGAUGUUCACCAAAAUGGACGUUUAAGCAUAUUACUUUUUCGGUAAUUUCCCAUUGAUGAGCAUAAAAUAAACAUAUAUAAUAAUCUAAGGUGCUGAGUAUAGCUAAUAGCUAAAUAAUCUAAAGAUGCNNN